GGGGUUCGUGUUCGGGAUUACUGGGCGUAAGGGUUCGCAGGGGGCCGGUCAAGUCCGAUGUGAAAUCCCGGAGCUCAACUCCGGAACUGCAUUGGAAACUAAUCGGCUAGAGGCUCGGAGAGGAGAGUGGAAUUCCAGGUGUAGCGGUGGAAUGCGUAGAUAUCUGGAAGAACACCGAAAGCGAAGGCAGCUCUCUGGACGAGUACUGACCCUCAGGAACGAAAGCAUGGGGAGCAAACAGGAUUAGAUACCCUGGUAGUCCAUGCUGUAAACGUUGCGCACUUGAUGUGGAGGGACUUGACCCCCUCCGUGUCGGAGCUAACGCGUUAAGUGCACCGCCUGGGAACUACGGCCGCAAGGCUAAAACUCAAAGGAAUUGACGGGGACCCGCACAAGCGGUGGAGCAUGUGGCUUAAUUCGAGGCAACGCGAAGAACCUUACCUGGGCUUGACAUAUGCUGGACAGCCGUGGAAACACGGUCUUCCUUCGGGAUCGGCAUACAGGUGCUGCAUGGCUGUCGUCAGCUCGUGCCGUGAGGUGUUCGGUUAAGUCCGGCAACGAGCGCAACCCGCGUCGUCAGUUGCCCACAGGUAAUGCUGUGCACUCUGACGAGACUGCCCGUGUCAAGCGGGAGGAAGGCGCGGAUGACGUCAAGUCCGUAUGGCCUUUAUGCCCAGGGCUGCACACGUGCUACAAUGGCCGGUACAAUGGGACGCAAUACCGCGAGGUGGAGCAAAUCCUUAAAACCGGCCCCAGUUCGGAUUGCAGUCUGCAACUCGACUGCAUGAAGCCGGAAUCGCUAGUAAAGGCGUAUCAGCCACGACGCCUUGAAUACGUUCCCGGGUCUUGUACACACCGCCCGUCACAUCAUGGAAAGCCGUUUGCACCCGAAGUCGUUGUCCCAACCCCUUUAAAAAGGGAGGAAGACGCCGAAGUGUGGUCGGUGACUGGGAUGAAGUCGUAACAAGGUAAA
Molecule: ribosomal RNA, 973 nt
Filed under: uncultured bacterium
Lineage: Bacteria
Description: bacterial SSU rRNA
Rfam family: Bacterial small subunit ribosomal RNA
Source: RNAcentral